RNAcentral lists this ribosomal RNA (497 nucleotides) under uncultured bacterium. RNAcentral describes it as "partial 16S ribosomal RNA". It matches the Rfam family "Bacterial small subunit ribosomal RNA", at positions 29 to 507 of the family's 1533-position model. The record is from RNAcentral.
AAUGAACGCUGGCGGCGUGCCUAAUACAUGCAAGUCGAGCGAACAGACGAGGAGCUUGCUCCUCUGACGUUAGCGGCGGACGGGUGAGUAACACGUGGAUAACCUACCUAUAAGACUGGGAUAACUUCGGGAAACCGGAGCUACUACCGGAUAACAUGUUGAACCGCAUGGUUCAACAGUGAAAGACGGUCUUGCUGUCACUUAUAGAUGGAUCCGCGCCGCAUUAGCUAGUUGGUAAGGUAACGGCUUACCAAGGCAACGAUGCGUAGCCGACCUGAGAGGGUGAUCGGCCACACUGGAACUGAGACACGGUACAGACGCCUACGGGAGGCAGCAGUAGGGAAUCUUCCGCAAUGGGGGAGAGCCUGACGGAGCAACGCCGCGUGAGUGAAGAAGGACUUCGGAUCGUAAAACUCUGUUAUUAGGGAAGAACAAAUGUGUAAGUAACUAUGCACGUCUUGACGGUACCUAAUCAGAAAGCCACGGCUAACUACGUG